This 274-nucleotide ribosomal RNA is filed under the name uncultured bacterium. Its description in RNAcentral is "partial 16S ribosomal RNA". It matches the Rfam family "Bacterial small subunit ribosomal RNA", at positions 523 to 796 of the family's 1533-position model. The record is from RNAcentral.
AUACGGAGGGUGCGAGCGUUAAUCGGAAUUGCUGGGCGUAAAGCGUACGUAGGCGGUUUGCUAAGUCAGAUGUGAAAGCCCCGGGCUUAACCUGGGAACUGCAUUUGAUACUGGCAGACUAGAGUAUGAUAGAGGGGGGUAGAAUUCCUGGUGUAGCGGUGAAAUGCGUAGAUAUCAGGAGGAAUACCAGUGGCGAAGGCGGCCCCCUGGAUCAAUACUGACGCUGAGGUACGAAAGCGUGGGGAGCGAACAGGAUUAGAAACCCCAGUAGUCC